Molecule: non-coding RNA, 90 nt
Organism: Pelobates cultripes (western spadefoot toad)
Lineage: Eukaryota; Metazoa; Chordata; Amphibia; Anura; Pelobatidae
Source: the annotation of a GenBank genome assembly
CAGUGUUUCCAUGUCUCCCAGUGUCCCCAAGUGUCUCAGUGUCCCCGGGUCUCUCAGUGACAUGGGGACACUGGGAGAAAUGGGAACACU